Molecule: transfer-messenger RNA, 398 nt
Filed under: Lentimicrobiaceae bacterium
Lineage: Bacteria; Pseudomonadati; Bacteroidota; Bacteroidia; Bacteroidales; Lentimicrobiaceae
Rfam family: transfer-messenger RNA
About the family: Bacterial tmRNA, also known as 10Sa RNA or SsrA, is named for its dual tRNA and mRNA-like properties. Its role is to liberate the mRNA from a stalled ribosome. To accomplish this part of the tmRNA is used as a reading frame that ends in a translation stop signal.
Source: RNAcentral
GGGGCUGUUCGGUUUUGACAGCAAGAUGAGUGGUUAUGUAAGCAUGCCGAGCCUUGCGAUGACGCUCGUUAAUCUUGAUCGUAAACAUUAAUUGGCGAAACUAAUUUUGCUCUCGCUGCUUAGUCGAAGUACAGUAGACAAGCUUCAUCCUUUCACAAGGUGAGAGGACGAGACAUCUCACGAGUGGACACGCCUGAUUCCGGCUCGAUCAUGAGGUGCUAAUCAAAUUCGGGAUAAUUUUGUGAAUGCUUCGAUCACAAAAUGAAAAUUUAGAAGAUAAGGUCGAAUUUUGGGUGUCUGUUCCCUGAUUUGGCACGAAAAACAACAAUAGAAUAAGCAUGUAGAAAGCCUGAUUGUUCCUUGUUUGGACGAGGGUUCGACCCCCUCCAGCUCCACUA